This 516-nucleotide ribosomal RNA is filed under the name Neoneides muticus. RNAcentral's name for it is "partial 16S ribosomal RNA". It matches the Rfam family "Bacterial large subunit ribosomal RNA", at positions 1830 to 2600 of the family's 2925-position model. The record is from RNAcentral. Lineage: Eukaryota; Metazoa; Arthropoda; Insecta; Hemiptera; Berytidae.
GUCCUGUAGAUUUUAAUUUUAGGUCUAUCCUGCUCAAUGAUUAUUUUAAUUAAAUAGCCGCAGUAUUCUAACUGUGCAAAGGUAGCAUAAUCAUUUGUCUCUUAAUUGGAGGCUUGUAUGAAUGGUUGGACGAGAUAUAAACUUUCUUUAUUUGACUUUAUUGAAUUUUAUUUUUAAGUAAAAAAGCUUAAAUUUUGUUGCAAGACGAGAAGACCCUAUAGAAUUUUAUUUAUUUGAUAGUUUUAUUAAUGAAUUUUAUAUUUUUAUUAUUAUUAAGUAAAUUUUGUUGGGGUGACAGUGAAAUUUAAUUAACUUUCAUUAUCUAUUUUUCAUUAAUUUAUGUAUUAUUGAUCCUUUUUUAUGGAUUAUAAGAUUAAAUUACCUUAGGGAUAACAGCGUAAUUCUUUCUGAGAGUUCAUAUCGAUGAAUGGAGUUUGCGACCUCGAUGUUGGAUUAAAGUUAGAUUUAGGUGCAGAAGCUUAAAUUCUAGGUCUGUUCGACCUUUAAACCUUUACA